Molecule: ribosomal RNA, 208 nt
Filed under: uncultured bacterium
Lineage: Bacteria
Description: partial 16S ribosomal RNA
Rfam family: Bacterial small subunit ribosomal RNA
Source: RNAcentral
CGUGUAGGCGGGUCGGUUAGUCCUCGGUGAAAUUUUCACCGCUUAACGGGAAAACUGCUGGGGAUACUGCCGGCCUAGAGGGCAUCAGAGGAGAGUGGAAUUCCAGGUGUAACGGUGGAAUGUACAGAUAUCUGGAAGAACACCAUUGGCGAAGGCGACUCUCUGGGAUGCUCCUGACGCUGAGGCGCGAAAGCCAGGGGAGCGAACG